CCUACGGGAGGCAGCAGUGAGGAAUAUUGGUCAAUGGACGGAAGUCUGAACCAGCCAUGCCGCGUGCAGGAAGACGGCUCUAUGAGUUGUAAACUGCUUUUGUACAAAGGUAAACCUGAAUACGUGUAUUCAGCUGAAAGUACUGUACGAAUAAGGAUCGGCUAACUCCGUGCCAGCAGCCGCGGUAAUACGGAGGAUCCAAGCGUUAUCCGGAUUUGUUGGGUUUAAAGGGCGCGUAGGCGGAUUGAUAAGUUAGAUGUGAAAUGUCCGAGCUUAACUCGGGAAUUGCAUCUAAUACUGGUGAUCUAGAGAGUAGGUGCGGUAGGCGGAAUGUAUGGUGUAGCGGUGAAAUGCUUAGAGAUCAUACAGAACACCGAUUGCGAAGGCAGCUUACCAAUCUAUAUCUGACGUUGAGGCACGAAAGCGUGGGUAGCAAACAGGAUUAGAUACCCUUGUAGUC
RNAcentral lists this ribosomal RNA (460 nucleotides) under uncultured bacterium. Its description in RNAcentral is "partial 16S ribosomal RNA". It matches the Rfam family "Bacterial small subunit ribosomal RNA", at positions 338 to 795 of the family's 1533-position model. The record is from RNAcentral.